This 374-nucleotide ribosomal RNA is filed under the name uncultured bacterium. RNAcentral's name for it is "bacterial SSU rRNA". It matches the Rfam family "Bacterial small subunit ribosomal RNA", at positions 30 to 412 of the family's 1533-position model. The record is from RNAcentral.
CCUGAACGCUGGCGGCGUGGCUAAGACAUGCAAGUCGUACGGUGUAGCAAUACACAGUGGCGAACGGGUGAGUAAUGAAUCGCUAAUGUACCCCGGACUCUGGGAUAGCCGGCCGAAAGGCCGGGUAAUACCAGAUGAUAUAUCUUUAUCGCAUGAUAGAGAUCUCAAAGGUCCGCCGGUCUGGGAGCAGGCGAUUUUGUAUCAGCUAGUUGGUGAGGUAACGGCUCACCAAGGCGAUGACGCAUAGCCGGACUGAGGAGGUUGGCCGGCCACAUUGGGACUGAGACACUGCCCAGACUCCGUACGGGGGCGUGCAGUAACGAAUCUUCCGCAAUGCACGAAAGUAGUGACGGAGCGACGCCGCGUGGGACGAA